RNAcentral lists this long non-coding RNA (907 nucleotides) under Heterocephalus glaber (naked mole-rat). Its description in RNAcentral is "lncRNA (ENSHGLG00000042497.1)". Lineage: Eukaryota; Metazoa; Chordata; Mammalia; Rodentia; Bathyergidae. The record is from RNAcentral.
AUCCAAGAACUCAGUGCUUUCAUAAAGCAUUUAUUUUUAUUUGAAAACAUUAUACAGGCAUUACAUUGCCACAGCCAGUUCAGAGGGGAGCAUGCAAAUAUCAAAAACGGACAGUUUGAUCAACUUAUUGGUGUAAUUUUUUUUUUUUUUGGUUCAUAUUUUUCCAUUUGCAGUGUCAGGAUUAGUGUGCUUUGUUAUGUAGCUUAACAAUAGAAUCCUACCCAUGGGGUAAAAUCUGUACUGGUAGCUAGCUGGGACUCCUAAGUGGUUACAAAUAAAAAGUAAACCAAAACAAACAAUACUACACGCUUGUCAGAGGUUAAUAGCACAAGUUAGCAAUACCUAAACUAAACAUCGAAACAGCUUCGUGGGACACGGUGGUGCGAACCGUUCCCUUGGUUGGUCUCCUGGGCGUGAGUGUGGAGUCUGGAGCCAGGGAAGGUGGGACCAGUGUGUCUGGAACUCCUGAUCAUGGACAACUCAGUACAUUUCCAGCCUUUCUGGAGACAAACCAGCAUGGCGAGGCAGCCUGGGGACGUGAAGGACUGAUUGCCAGGACGCUGGAUGACAGAGGCGCACGGAGAAUGCACCCUGAACUUCACACUCUGUUUCCAUACAGUAGUCAAUCAAAACGCCCUAGAGAAUAGCUCAGAUGGCAGCCUUUGGCCAUUGGUCAAUCGUAAACCUUUGGAAAUUGGAAUUGAAAGAAAAUUCCCAGUCCACUGAGUGGAUUUAGAAAUUGCUCCGGCCACUUGCUUCUCAUAAGACUUUACUAAGUGUCUACAAAUUAGCAUCAUAAAAAUGAAUCAAAAAGACAAAAACAUUUGGCUUAAAAUAAAUACUAAAAAUGAAAUAAAUCAAGCAAAUUAUGCAAACCAAAGGAAUGUAAACACAAAAAUAAAACCAC